UGAGGAAUAUUGGUCAAUGGGCGCGAGCCUGAACCAGCCAAGUCGCGUGAGGGAUGACGGCCCUACGGUUGUAAACCUCUUUUGUCGGGGAGCAAAUUCCGCCACGUGUGGCGGAGUCGAGAGUACCCGAAGAAAAAGCAUCGGCUAACUCCGUGCC
This 157-nucleotide ribosomal RNA is filed under the name uncultured bacterium. RNAcentral's name for it is "partial 16S ribosomal RNA". It matches the Rfam family "Bacterial small subunit ribosomal RNA", at positions 355 to 509 of the family's 1533-position model. The record is from RNAcentral.